Molecule: long non-coding RNA, 492 nt
Organism: Carcharodon carcharias (great white shark)
Lineage: Eukaryota; Metazoa; Chordata; Chondrichthyes; Lamniformes; Lamnidae
Exons: 2
Source: RefSeq, a predicted model, not a curated record
CACGUGCUCUUGGCGUAUUUGUCGUAACUUGUCUUACCUUUUUACAGUGCACAGAUCCUUUGUCUGGGCGUCAGGUACUCUACAAAACCCUGGCCCUCUAUGACUAUAAUGGACAUGGAGCUGAGGAUAUGGAGUUUAACGAGGGUGAUAUUAUUGAUGUGCUGUCUGAAGUGAAUGAGGAGUGGCUGGAAGGACAUUCAAAUGGAAAUAUUGGUAUCUUUCCCCGUUGUUUUGUCUGCCCAAGAAGUUCAGUAAUUGCUGAUUCCUAGGAGAUCAUCCAGCUCUGAAGCAACUGUCUGCUAACAGACUGUGGAAUGGAGAAGAGGAACGUGCAGCCAGGAACCAUGGACUGAAGUCUGAGCUCAGCAUUUCAGGGGGUCGCCCAAGGAAGUGGGAGUGAGGCACAGUCACUGUCCUAGGGAGGAGUGGAGCUCAUGAGCAGUGGGGUGAAUGAUUUGAUCUGUAAUUGAUAUUAAAGAGCUUUUGACGAUU